UCCUAUCUCCUGCUUAGUCUAUUAAGGUCAUAUUCAACGGUCUGAUAGAUUGUAUUUGUUGUCGUUCAAAUUCUAAUCACGUUUCAGUCUCCGGAUAAGUGUAGUUCAUAAAUUGACUAGGUUUCUGAGGGGAUAGUUCGUCAAAUCAACUUAUUUUUGAGUUUCCGAUUAGAGAAAUUUCAGUGACUAUAUCCUUCUUAAUCUAUUAUGGGCAUAUUCAACGGUUUGAUAGCUCUUUUUUUUUUGUUGUUUGUGACCUAGCCUCGUUUCAGUCGUCGUACAAGUGAAGUUCCUAGUUGACUAGGUUUACGUAGGGAUAGUUUGUCAGAUUAUUUAACAUCAUUUUUUAAAUUUUAUCCUUGAUGUAUGUGUGCUCAUAUAAAUUGUAUUUAGCUUUGUGUCUAUGUAAGACUUGCUUUACUUAGAAACCCAAAAUUAAAUGAAUUAAAUCAUUUAUUAUUUCCUCACAAUUCAAAAUAGUUAAUGUUCAUUAUAUAGAAUGAAAAUCCUAGACUUGAACAAUUGAAUGUGUAGUGUAGUUCAUUAUGUUAUGGUUUGUUGAGCAUUUGGUCCCUUGUUCGAUCCAUGCUGUGGUCAUUUUUUUUUCUUUCUAAUCUCAUCUUCUUCGCCCGUAUACUGUAAAACGGAUUUUUUUGCCCCACGUUCCGACCCGAUCGGAUCUCACUUGUUACUCAAUGAAAUUCAACAAUUUUUUUUCAUAGUUUUGAUCGGAAUUGAAAGGCAUGAAGCAAGCACAAGCUUAUUUUACAAAUCCACAAUCCAAUCACAUAUUUUAUUUUUUAGGGUUCUUUAAAAUAAAAACACAUUUACAUCUUUAUUUUUUCGAUUCAGCAUCUAGCUGUAGUCAACUAAGGAAGGAAAGAACAAAUAAAAAAACACUGAUCUAAAGAAACGCAGAAAUGAAAAAACUAAUAUUUGAAACAAUCUCAAAUGGAACAUGGGUGGAGAAGAAUGAGAUUGAAGGAGAAUAAUUUGGAUUUAGAGGGUGAUGGUGAGGUUAAUUCUGGGUGUUAAUUUUGAAAGUUUGGACAAAGUAACAUGAAGGGGUAGAGAUUCAAUAUCUCCGAGAAAGGAAAAAGAUGAUUUUGAUUGCUAAUUUGAGUCAACUCACCAUGGUUAACGUUGAGAAGGAUUGCAAAUGUUUUUGCAACAUUUCCCAAAACACCCUUCAUUGUAUUUGUUAUUGAAAGUUCUAGUUUUUAUUAGUAAAAUUGUAUAUAAUAAUUAGGGCCUACAAUAUAAAACUUAACAGGUAACUUUGACUUUCAAUCAGAACCACUCAUUAAUUUAUAAUAAAUCUUAUGGCUGCCAUUGAUUCUCCAAAGAUCAAGUACCGUGCGAGACCCAUUCACCUCGCGUACGGGAGACGUCGCCGCUUUUGUGGCCCUUGGUUGAAUUGAGUUUGGUUUAACACAGGUUUUGCUUUUGAAAUGCUGACAAAGGUAUAUAUUCAUGUGUAUAUAUCUCAAUGUAAAUAUAGUAUAAGUUGUUAAUAAUUAGUACUCCCUCCGGUCCUAUUUAUAAGAAAAUGUUAAUUUUUAAGAUUUAUUGUAUAAUUAAUGUAUCUUGUUUAGAAUAUAGACUAAAUACAUUAUUUAUGCAAUGAAUCAAAAAAGUCAAAAAUUUCUUAUAAAUGAGAUUGGAGGGAGGGACUAAUAAACUACUCCAUCCAUCCUAUAAUGAACUAUUUGACAAUUGCACACACAUUAAAAAAAGAAUUAAAUAAUGCUGACAAAGGAUUAAAUAUUGUACAAAAAAGGAUCGCCGUACAUGCAAAGUGAAAAUUAUUGUCUUAAUAAUGAUACAUGCAAGUAUUAAAUAUAUUAAUUAGUGGACAAAGGAGUAUUUACAACUACUUUUGAAAAUAGAAAGGGUCGCAUAUAUUUUGGGAUAGAUUCUUUAUAUUUAUAAAUGAACCGCGCAUUGAUUCGGUUUUGAAAAAAGGAUUCCAAAUAUAAUCAGACCGAUUUUCAUAAAAGAAUAUCCAAAAACAUAUUAUAUCGAUUAUAUGAUUUUUGAUUUUUUAAUUUGGCUUGUGAUUUUAAUUCAAAUUUGAUUGUGACGCUUUUGACUCCUACCGCGGUCUUUUACAAAAAGUUCAAAGCGUCAUGGAUGAUAAUGUUGUGUCUCAUAGAUUUAUGAAUAUAGUUUACAAAAGGGUUAAUUUUGCCGUCAAAAAAGGUUUAGCGACCAACCCGUUGCUCAAUUUUUUUUUUCUUGUGUAAUUUUAUACCAUAGUAUAUAGUUUUGAAAAUUUGAUUUUUUUUUUAUAUGAAUUGAACACCGUUAAUAUUUUUAAACAAUGUUGUUAAAAAAUGUACUGCAAACGAUAAUCCUUUCGGUAUUGGCAACACAUUUUUACCCUAAACCUUGAGGCAAUGAGUUCUCUCACUUAUAAAGUUCUCAACCUUCACUUUUCUAUUCGAUGUGGGACAUAUAACUCACACACUCUUGAAACGGUUGAGCAAUCUAUCCAAGAGGCUGCUCCACCACUAGAUAAGUACAAUACCUCUUUUCACAUGUCAUUACUUAAUGUAAUUGAUGAAAUUGUAAGGCCAUACGUCAAUGAGCAGCGUCCAAGUUUGGAAGGAGUCACAAAAACUAUACCUUUGAAAGCAAACAAUAGCGAUAUCAUUAAUACAUGCGAGAUUAUUGUGCAAGCUCCUCCUGAUUUUGAAUCAAAUAUGACUAAUAUUCUUGCGCACUCUGAAGAUCUGGUUGAUCCAAACCUUCAUAAAGAACUGGAUCUUGUUCAACACAUGUUGAUUCAAGGUAAAUACGUUGACGUCUCUAUUACGCCUUAUCUAAUGAAGAAGUAGAAAAAACAACUCAGCAAACACAAUUCCUAUAACUCUAAUAUUAGUUACAAUCCAAUGAUAUAUCAUGGUAUAGCUAGCUAGGCCUCCUCCGCCCCUAAGUAUAUAAGCAUUUCACCACUCAGUGAAAAAACUGUUCCAAAUAUAAGUUCUUAAUUUUAAAAUAUGAAAGUCAAUAUUGGAUGAACACGUCUAUAAACAAUAAUUUAAUAAUAAUUACAUACCUUGUCAAAAAAAUAUAUAUAUAUAUAUUACAUACAAAAUCUAUUUAGGUUGGUAUGGUAGUAUUGACUUGGGAUCUGAAAAUGUGCUUCUCUUCAAGGUCAGGUAGAUUCUACUCGGUGUUAACUUCAAAAAAAAAAAAUUACAUACAAAAAUUACAUAUUGCCUUCACUAUCAACCUUUUUUAAUAUAUAUAUAUAUAUAUAUAUAUGUGUAGUAAAAUAUAGCAUUAAUGUUUAUAAAAAAAUAAAUAAAAAGAGAUGGAAAGAAUGUUUAGUAAAAACAAUAAUGUCAAUUUUUUUUAGGUGUGGAAGUUAGUCAAUUUUAACACACAAAAAACUAAUUUAUAUGAACGGAAUGAAGUUCCCUUACUUGUCGUCCUUGCAGGGCAUUUUUAUUUUUAUUAUAGAAAAUCAAUUCCUCGUGGAACGCAUGGCAUUAUUUUACCCUAGUUUACAUUCAUUUUGAUCAAGUCUCAUAAUUUAUUUAUUUUUUGGAAAAAAUUCCAUGGACACAAACUACAAACACAAGUUUUAAGCAAACUUACAUAAAGUCAAAACUAUUUUUUUGUUACUACAAGUUUAGGUGAGUUGAGAAAUAUAAGGGUUCAUCGAAGUUAAUCAUGAAGGUUCAACGAGCGUUAUAAAGGUAUUUCCAGAUCACCCAUCAAAUUAGUCUAAUGCUUGUAGAGUAGAGGGAGUUGAAAUCAUAAUUUUACGUCAAGAAAACUUACGUAGUCACAAACACAAAUAUAAUUAGACACACACAUAAAUUGAAAAAAUUAAAAAAGAAAAUAAUUGAAUGAUGUGAUUAAAUUAUUUCUUAUUUAUUUUUCUACAUUUAUGUGAAUGUGGCUAAACAUUUUUCAUUUCUAUUUUGUGUUUAAGUAAGACUUGCUCACUUUAAUUAUGACUAAACUCCUUACCAACUAAACAUGGUACCGUUUGACCAGACUUUUUUUCGGUCUAAAAACUACUUUAAAACAAAGUUAAAAUAAAGCUCUUUAAGAAAAAAGUUAAAGCUGUUUGGUUUCUUUAUUUUUUUUAAUUCUAAAGUUAUUUUUAAGUUAAAAGUUGUUUGGCAAAAUAUUGUACAAAACUUUGAAUUUUUUUUUUUUUUUUGUGGUGUUCGGGGUUCGAACCCGCGAUCUUGCAUAUAUUUAUACAUUGUCUAUAUCAACUGAGCUAAGCUAGAGAAUAGUUUGUUUUUUCUUUUCCAAUUAUACUGUAUAACAAAUUUUGUUAUAAGAAUAUCAUAUUUUUGGUAUCAUUUAAAAAGAUAAGAAUUUAUAUUAUAUGAUAUUAUAUUUUGUUACAUUGUUGUUGUCAUUGAAAAAGAUAUGUUUAGUUUUUUUUUUUUUAUAAGAAAAAGAUAUAUAAAUGUGUAAAAUAUAUAUAAGUAUAAUUUUUUUAGGCAUCUAUACUAGUACUUUUAAUUAAAAUCAAAAUUAUAGACAUUAGCGUAACAAGAAAAACAGACAUACAAACAUAAAAUAUUACUCUAAACGCUAAUGCGUGUGUGUAUAUUUGUGAGGUUGAAGAAAGGGAAUAAAAAUAUUUGAUGUCAUUCAAUGACAACAUGAAUAAAAAUAUUUGUGAAGUUGUGAUAAUUAAACGAUAUUAAAAUUAAAUAUAUAAGUGAUAAAAAGAUAAUAAAAGAUUAAUUAAAACAUUGAACGACCAUUUUAGUUAUUUUUAAAAUAAUUAAAGAUUAAUUAAAAGGUAAAAUUACCAUUUUGUGAGUUUGCAAGGAACUUAUUAUACUUUCAUUUCCUUUUACCCUUGUCUAUUAUUCAUUCUUCAACCACCACCACAUAUCAUCACCUCUCCUGGCUAUAUAUUAAGCUCUUGCCCAUCAUUUGUUGCAAUUAGCUAACCCAUCUUUUAUUUUUUCACUCACUUGUUUCCAAUUUUCCCCAAAAAAUUCCCUCCUUAUUUUUCUUUCUCUAUAAACCUCUUGUUUAGAAACACACGCAGAGAGAUGAAGAAGAAGAGAAAGAAGAAGAUUACACCUACCAAGUAAUAUAUAUUUUAUUUUCUUUUUAAUUCCUCUUGUUGAUCUGUUUUAGUUUAUCACUUCUUAUUUCAUUCUUCUCAUGAACAUUAAGAUUCUAGCAUAAAUACAUGUUGGAAUAAUUGAUUAAUUAAUUAAUUUGAUUAGCAUAACUAAGAUCUAGCCUCCAUGAGUCAUCAUAAUUAAUAUAUUAAUUAUUAACAACAACCUUAAUCAUUACAAUUUGUGAUAUCAUUACCAAUAACAUACUACAACACAUCCCCGUAAUUUAAUUUGUUAAGAAACCAAAGUGAGAAACACAACAUGAUGAUAAAUAGAACAGAAUGGAAGAGGACAAAUACUAAAGAACAGUAGCAAACAAGGACCUCCUGUGCUGUGGAUUUUUAUGAUCAAAUUCAAAGCCAUAAUCACCAUUGUUGUCUCAAGUUAAUUAAAGUUUCUUACAAAAGAUUCCAUUUCAAUUUUAGGUACCAAAAUGUGCCCUAAAUUUAAAAGUAAAAUUUCAAAUAAAUUGACAUCUUAGCUACCCUACCAUUCAAUUUCAAUCUACAUUAAUAGCUUGUGGAAGGCCUUUUAAGUCUGAGUUACUAAACAAGUCUUAAUAUUGCAUUGAACUUCUUUUUUUUUUUUUUUUUUUACAAAUUAAUGUUGCAUUGAACUUUGUUUAUAUCAUUAUGUACUUAAUCAUAUGAAACAUUUAAUCAUUUUGAUUUAUAUACUGUGAGUCUGUUAUUACUAUUUGGUCCACAGUUUAUUGUUUUAGGGGAUCACGGUGUAAGUAUAUAUGUCACAUGAAGUCAUGUUUUUGUUUGCCUUCAAUUGUAUACUGUUAUUAUUUGUCCUAUAACAACAAUGGUUUUUGCUUGAUUUCAGUGCUGUUUUCUACAUAUUGUUUGGUCUUAGCACAAAUCUACGGCAUAAUACCCACAUGCAUUAUUACUAAGGGAUUCCAUGUGGGUCAAGUAAGUAGAAUUUUUAUUUGUUACUUGUUUUUCUUUUUCAUUUGAUAAAAAAAACUUUUUAGUUCAAUUUUCUGCAUCCCCGCCAUACUUUCGGCUCUCAUUACAAGUUUCAACUAGUGAAGUCCGCAUACUUCAAACAUGUAAUUAAUAUUAUUAUAAUUAAGGGUUAAUACCACUUUUGGUCCCUGUAAUAUUAAUAUUAGCGAAUUCUAGUUUUAGUUCCUGUAAAAAAAAAGUUUAAAUUAUGUCCGUGUCAUUUUAAAUUCUUCCACUUUUAGUCCCUCAAUUGAACACAUCAGCAGAAUCUGCUGACGUGUAAUUGAUGAUCGUGUAAUUUUAAUAUUUUUUAAUCCACAUGAUAUUUAUAAUUAUUUUCAUUAUUUAAAAUUCUAAAACAUAAAACAUAAAUUAAAAAACACAAAUAUUUUCAUUCCCUCAUCUCUCUCUGCGAUCUAUCUUCCCCCUCCUCCGACCACCAUCUCGGCCGCCGUCCAUCACAUCAUUGAAGCGCACCACCCUCGUUCUCCCUCUCCUUCUACACCCUCCACUGUCAUCUCUUUGUCCCUUUUCCACAUCUCUCCCCUCCAUCCUAAUCUCUCCCUCAUCAAUCAAUCACCACCACACCCUUCCUCCUCAAUCACCACCACCAUCCUCGUCGCCACCACCAUCUCACUUUAAUUCUAAAUCGUAAUUUUCUUUUAAAUUUUCUGGUGUUUUGAUUUGAAAGCCCCUAACCUUAUAAGUUUGCAUCAGAUUUGUUUAUACAAUUAAUUCAGAUGCAUUUGUCAAUUUGUUUCUCAAAACUUCAGAUCUGAAAUCUAAAAUUUAAGUUGGGGUUUCAUUUGACUUGUGGUGUUAAUUGAUUUAGGAGUUCAAUUUGAUGUAGGGUUUUGCAUUGAAGAAGAAUAAGAAAGAGAAUGUUUAAAAUGGGAUGGGUUGAAACAAGAAAAUGUGAAACAUAGAAAUAGAUGAAGAAGGAGAUCAAGAGGGUUAGUAAAUUUUUUUUUGUUGAAGAUGAAGAGUGUUUGGAACGAAAAAAAGCAGAUGAAGAGGGUCUGUUAUUUUGUUUCAAUUUUUAUAUUUUUCUACUUUAACAAUGUUUUAAAGUUUUUUUUUAAUAAGUAUAAAUCAUAUCCCUCAAAAAUGAAAUAAUUAUAAAUCAUAGAAAAGCCACAUGAAAAUAAAUUUAAUAAAAAAAAUAAAAGAAUUACACAGUCAUCAUGACAUGUCAGCAGAUUCCGCUGAUGUGUUUUAUUGAGGGACUAAAAGUGGAAGAAUCUAAAAUUACAGGGACAGAAUCUAAACUUUUUUUUUACAGGGACUAAAACCGAAAUUCGCUAAUAUUACAGGGACCAAAAGUAGUAUUAACCCUAUAAUUAAUUCUGAUAUAGUUCUUUUGUGAAUAAGUUUUUUUUUUUAAAAUGGAAAAUAAUGUUUAUGAAGUGAUUAGUAAAAUAAUACAAGUGUUGAUGUAUAGACUUAUGCGAAAGUAAGGAGUGGGUCAAUAACUAUUACAGCACCAACUUUAGAUCUCUACUUGAUCUAAUGGCUGGUAGUAUACUUUGGUACACCCACGUAACAAUGAAGAACAUGAAUAUCUACCAAUAUCCCAUUGAAAAACUGAGGGUGCAGCCGGUAGGCCUAAUUGUCGCUUUUGCUGUGAUGGCCACACUUGGUGAGUCAUAUUGACUUAAACUAUAUUACAAGCUUCUAUGGUCUUCAUUCUUUUGAUUGAUUUAUAUCAUUAUUUUGUCAUUUUCCUUUCAAACGAAAGGUUUCUGAAAUCAUAUUACAUUGUUGGGCUUGUAUUUUAAUAUAGUUGCACAUAUGCACCUUAUGAUUAUGGUUAUAAAUUUUCAAGAAAACAUUCAGCUUUACGCUUAAGAUUGAAGAAUCUGUUUAUUUAUUCUUUAGGCCAUAAAUCAAAAGAUCCUAUUUUGAGAAAUGAGGUAUGGUUAUUUAAUUGAUCCAAGAAUGAAUAUACCAACAAUGGAUUUGUCCAAUAGUAAAAGACUUAAAAAAAUCUGGUAUGGUUAGACUCCUUAAACAUGUGGUCAUGAGUUUGAUUUUGACUCAUGCUUAUAAAAAAAUCUGGUUGAAUGGAGAGAACCGACCUGCAUGCUGGUUUAUCAUAACCAUUCUUGCGUUUUAGUGAAUAUUCUUAUUUUAGGAAGGGUUUGAUUCCGACUCAUGCCUAAGAAAAAAUUUGGUUGGACGGGGAAACUCCACCUCCCCACUGGUUUGUAAGUAAGAUACGAUCAGCUUUUACUGUUUAGUCCAAAGCAUUAACUUUUAUUAUUUCAAAAAGUUUAUUUAUAUUUUUUAAAAUUUUUGAAAAUUAAUUUCCAUAUUUUUAAAUUUAUUAUUUAUUUUUAUAUGUUUAUUUUAAUUUCAAAAUAUAUUUUUUGUUUUUAAAAAAUGAUUUUAAAAUAAUAAAAUUACAAAAUCUAGUGAUGAGGGAGUAUGGUAAGGAUGUGUUCUUGGUUUGAUCUAAUGGUUAAAAACUAACUUUCCCAUGGUGGGAAAAAUUAGCCUUUCCCAUACUAAACUUCACCUAGAAUAUGAGUUGAAAAUAUAGUGUUAGUAACUAUAAAUACCCACUCAUACACAACAGCAAAAGUAGCAUAACGUAAGCAAUAGAGAGAGAUAGUUAGUUAGUUAUCCAUCGAACUAAAAAGAAGUGACCCCAUCACAAACUGUAAUUCUCAAUCAUUUGCAAAUCCAAACUCAUGGCAUAGUACUUAGUAGCAUACCUUAUUACCACCUUCCAAAACUUCAAUCAUGCUGGCAUGAAAAGUACCAGUUUUCCAUUCAUAUAUAUAUAUGUAUUUUUUUUCUUUUUUAUUUCUUUUUCUUAGUUAAAUAAUUCUGGAUUUCCAAAUAUCGAAACUGAAAGAGUUGACUAUGAAUUUGAGCUGUAUUUUUUGUUUUUCAUAAUAAGACUUUAUUGAGCUGUACAUUUUAAAAAUAAAAUAAAAAGAAAAAAAUAUCGUCAUUUAGCACACUGAAAUCAUGUUUUUCCCUCCUAGCUUAUUGUCUUUCUAUGCUUAAACACUUCAAAACCAAUGUCCAAUACACACUUAUGUCGACAUUUUACGACAUUGUAUAGUCUAAUAAAAUAAAUAACAAGCCAUAUGAACGGAAACAAAUUCCAUCUUUGUUGCUGUCAGUAUGUGCAUAUUAUAAUGUAACAUGGAAAUAUCAGAUUAAAUAUUCAAUCACAAUUUUGAAAACCUACAAAUUCAACUAACAAAAUAUCCAUAUAAACUCAUCUUUGUUAUUGUCAUUAAGUGCAUAUCCUCUUAAAUCUGAAUUUCUAACCAUUGAAAUGGGAUUCAAACUCUUUGUUCUUUCGAUCUUCAUUCUCUUUAUAGUCCCAACUCUAAUAGCUGCAGAGUGCACAUGUGACGAAGAAGAUGAAGAAAGGGACAGAUCAAAAGCUCUACGCUACAAAAUAGCGGCUUUAGUGUCAAUAUUAGUUGCAAGUGCAAUUGGUGUUUGUCUCCCACUUCUUGGGAAAGUGAUACCGGCAUUAAGCCCUGAAAAAGAUAUAUUUUUUAUCAUCAAAGCAUUUGCUGCCGGUGUGAUACUGUCCACCGGUUUCAUUCAUGUGCUUCCUGAUGCUUUUGAGAAUCUUACUUCUCCAUGUUUAAACGAACAUCCUUGGGGUGAUUUUCCCUUCACUGGUUUUGUAGCUAUGUGCACCGCUAUGGGGACUCUUAUGGUUGAUACUUAUGCAACCGCUUAUUUUCAGAACCAUUAUUCUAAAAGGGCACCGGCACAGGUUGAAAGUCAGACAACCCCAGACGUGGAGAAUGAAGAACAUACACAUGUUCAUGCUCACGCAUCACAUAGUCAUGCACAUGGUCAUAUUUCUUUCGAUCAGUCAUCAGAACUUCUUCGUCAUAGGGUCAUAUCACAGGUAAUAAUAAUAUAAAUUUAAUCAUAUAAAGAUAUUUGUGCAUGAGAUGUGAAUAUGAUUUUUUGAUUUUAUCAUAGGUGUUGGAGUUGGGAAUUAUUGUUCACUCUGUUAUCAUAGGAAUUUCUUUAGGUGCUUCAGAGAGUCCUAAAACCAUAAGACCAUUAGUGGCUGCGUUGACUUUUCAUCAGUUCUUUGAAGGCAUGGGACUUGGAAGUUGUAUAACUCAGGUAUAUCAUAUUACAUAUAUAUCAUUCAACUAGUGUGAAUGAAUUAUAAUCAAGUUAUCUCUGACCGUUCAUGGGGACCAUGAGUUCGAUUUGGUUGAUGUGAAUUGUGAAAUAUUAACUAUGGAUUAGGAUUUUUCAAAUAUAAGUGCGGUGAACUAUUGGUCACACUUGAAUCUAAUAUAAAGAUAAGAUAAUUUAUGAUUAUUCUUAUAUAUGUUGAUUUUUCACUAGACAUCUUGAUCCUUUCAAGUGUUUUGUGGCCAAUGUAUUUGUUUGUUUGGUGCCCUUGUUUGUUGUAAUAUGUUCAAAAGAUGUCAAAUUAAAUGCAUGAUCGUUUAUCCAAAAAUAUUAUGUAAUGAAACAUCGUCUUUUCAUUACUUUUUUUUUGGUGGUACACUUCUUUUUUAGUAUGCAUUCUUUGCUCUAAUUUCUUAAUUAAUCGGUGAAGGAUUGCUUUAUGCAUAAACAAUUUCACAUAUCAUCAUUAUUUGUAUUAAACUUUAAGUUUUUUAAUAUAAAAUAUAGAAAUCAUGAAAAUUGUAUCUUCAACAUAAACUAUAAAAAUGUCCGUGAGAAAUUCAAUAAUCACCUUCAACCGAAUCUCCAUAAACAAAUAAAAAAAUUCAACUAACAAUGUUAAACUUUUCUAUAACAUUUAGUUAAUGUUUGAUUAUGCAAAACUAAUUUCUAUAAGUUAUGUGUUUGUUACAUUUCAAGAGAUUGUGCACCUUAAUUGAAUGUAAAACAAGAAAACAUCAACCAGCAGCAUUGUUUUUGACUUAUUGAAAGUGCAACCAUUGCAGGCAAAUUUCAAGAGUCUAUCAAUUACUAUUAUGGGAUUGUUCUUUGCUUUGACAACUCCAGUAGGAAUUGGAAUUGGCUUAGGGAUCAGCAAUGUUUAUGAUGAGAACAGUCCAACUGCUCUUAUUUUUGAAGGAAUCUUCAAUGCAGCUUCAGCUGGGAUCUUAAUCUAUAUGGCACUUGUAGAUCUUCUUGCUGCUGAUUUUAUGAAUCCAAGGAUGCAAAAGAAUGGUAGGCUUCAAUUAGGAUCCAAUAUAUCUCUUCUACUAGGAGCUGGUUGUAUGUCUCUUAUAGCCAAAUGGGCUUAGCUAGGUGUUUGUUUGAGUAUUCUUAAUUUUCAUUUCCUUCCAAAUUGUUCAUUUGAAGUCCUUGAUAAUUUCCAAAUAUGCCUAUAACAAUAGACCUACUAUCGAAGACGACGUGAAUAUACAGUUUCACAUGACAUUCAGCUUGAACUGGUUUAUGUUUAUCAAUUCUGGCAUUUUGGUGGACUAUUUGGGAUUUGAGAAAUGAGUGAUCUCAUUUGAUAAGUCUGAUUUCUGUGUUAUUUUGGGUUGGAUUAUGAUAUUGUCCAUCUUGACUUGAUUAAAGCUGGACCGAUGUCUAUAUUAUGAGUGGUGUGUUGAAUCUCUAUGUUGUAUUCGAAGAGCCUAGUCGCUUCGCCUUGCUGGUUUUGGCAAGGGCUUGGUUCUGGUCUUGUGCUUCUUUUCCUGCGUGAUUAUAGUACUCAUUGUACUUUCAUCAUAAUAUAUUUUAAAUUUUUUGAUUUGUUUGUUCAAAAGUUUACAUCCAGGAAGAUUGAUAGGGUUAGCAAAAUUACCGUUCUCAAUAAGUAUAUGAUUAUAUAACUUGGCUUUGUUUAUUCUAUAUCAACGUUGUUUUUUCGUCUUGCAAAGGUUCUCUCAACAUUAUUGAUGAAUAAUUCACUAAAAUGUAAGUUAUGUAACGAUUGUUAUAUCAUUCUAAACUCUGAAUGUGCUAUCACAUUCAUACCAUCAGAAUAUAACAUGUAUAAUAUUCAUCGAAAGAUAUUGAAUUACAUUAUUUGACAUUUAAAGUCAUUUGUUAUUUUUUGAUUUCAUCAAAAAAUCAAUGGUGAACACUCUAGUAUUUAUAGAGUUUGUUUGGGUAUAUGUACCUCAUCCAAUUAUUAAAAUAAAUUUAUCAAUUUUUUGUUUUGAGAAUUAUUGAAUAUGAAUCCUUUUUACCUAAUAGUUUAAAAGUAAAAUAUGCAUUUCGUUAGUAAUAUAGUUUUUCUUGAAUAUCAUUUAGAUGAAAAAUUCAUGAAUAUCUUCUAGAUAUAAAUUUUAAAAAAUUAUAAUAUACUAAUUAUAAUUUAUUAUAAAAAGUAUACAUAAGACCCUUAAAAAAUGUACAUAAGACAAAUUUUUAUGACUGGUCAGUUAAUAUAAAUUUUUUAACAAACUAUGUCGAGUAGCGUUUAAACCUACAAAUUGCUUAUCACUUUUUUUUGAGGGAAAAUUGCUUAUCACUCUUUAUCUCAAUUUUAAUCAUAUUAGUUUAAAUAGUAGAAAUCAAUUUUUCAUAUCGGUAUCCACUAAUUUAUCCACUUAUACUUUUUAAGAAAAUAGAGUCUAUUCUCUCCAAAAAUAAAAUAAAAUAAAGUAGAGUUUAUAUUAUUUUGUUGAGGUUGGAUUAACAUAAAGAAAAUGUAAGGAAAAGUGGUGUUUCCUGUGUCUGUUUAGAGCUUCUCAUAUAUGCACGUCCAAAAUCCAAAUUAAAUGACACCACAUGAUACUUGAGAGUUGGCACACAUGUAAUGUAAUAGUGUGGGACAUACAUUAAAAAUAGGUUUAAACGCACUCUCCUAUCCUCUAAGUUUGCAAAAGUUGCAAUUUUAGCCCCCAAUUAAAAAAAAUGGUAAAGGUGACCCCCUAUAUCUACCCAUUUUGUAAAACGCAAUUUGGAUUUGGUCAUGCCUGCAUGGCAUGCCACAUGUGUAAUUAGUUAUUUAAAGAAAAAUAAAAAUGUCAUGCAUGUAUAUAUGAAAUUAAAAAUAAAAAUAAAAAAUAAAAAAAGCAAGAGGGAGAACCAAGCACAGGAAUAACAGCAACUACAUUAUCAUUCAUCUCCAUUCAAAUAAUAUGUUCAUGGUAUCAUUCUCAAAAUUUUCAUUACAUUUCUUUUUCAAUAAUUAGGAAAUUCUAUAACAUUUGCCCUUUUUCUUUCUUCAACAGCGAGAAACCAUAAGCAACUUUUUCUUCUUUUUUUGUCAUAUAUUUUCCUUCCCAAUCGCAUCUAUUGCAACAAUUAAUUCAAGUUCUCAUCAACAAGAUGAAAACCACCAACAACAACAUCACGUUUUUUAGAAAACAAAAUUUGUAUUCAAUCCCUAUCAAAUACAUCUCCCAAAAACUUAAUCCAUCUAUCAUUUUCCUCCUCUUACCCGGUUCAAUUGUCCAACUAAACAACAACAACACUGACAUUCUCACUCUUCUCGUUCCUGACUUUUCUCUCUCUCCCUGAUCUAGUUGUGGCGAAACAUGGUGGAAAUGAUGGUUGUUGUAGGAGGUCGUAAGUGAUGGUGGUUGUCAGAUCUGAGAGUAUCACAGGUGGUGGUGGUUGUGACCAAUGGUUGUCAGAACUGAGACUCAUCUCUCUCAAGCAGUAGUGGAUGUAGAGAGAUACGGUGGUGGAGAGGACGGUGAUGAGAGUGGUUUUGGUGGGUGAGAGAUGAAUCUGAGAAGGUUGGUAUGGUGGUGGUGGUGCUGUAAACAUAGAUUAGAGACGAUCUUGUGGUGGUGAUAGGAGAAUAGCGGCGGCGGUGGUGGUGGUGUGAUAAGUGCUUAUUGAUCAUUUAAUAUAUGGUUCUAGCUAUUUAUUCAAUAUUGUUGUUAUUCUUGCAUUUAAUGUUUUAUUGAGAUUCAAAAUGAUAUGGACACAUAUUUUUGAAUCUAGAAAUAGAAUAACAAUCUAUCUUAAGUUAUCACUCUAGACAUGGAUGUUGAUAUUUGAUAAUCACUUUUAAUCUAUAUGAUUUAAUGCUUUUGGGUAAUUUAAUCGGUUGGGAAAUCGUCGAUAAAACUAUCCAAUCGACUUUGUGAUCGUUUAAAUGUUUGGAAAAACGAUGUUUAAACGAUCCCUUAGAAAUAACGAUAUCAUUUGGACACGGAUGAUAUUGUCGAGUGAUUGUGAUAAUAUCGUUUAAAAAGUUAGGAUCCGUUAAUCGAUCGAGAGAUUGCAGCUGUUACGCUUGGUUGAUGUCUCUGACCGCAAGCGAAAUAGCCCUAUCUCUUCUCAUUUUACUUUUAUGUCGAUUAGGAAAAUAGUUUUACGCAAACAAACAAUUUAUACCCAAACACUUAACAUGACAAAUAUUGUGAAAAUGCUUAUGAAAUAUGUAACUCCCUGUGGACUCGAUCAUAUUAUACUUACGUGUAAAUAGUUUUAUGAGAUGUAAAAAUCUUACAUCAUGGUGGUGAACAAGAUCGGAGAUGAAGGUUGAGGUGGUGUGGUGAUGUAAUAUUCUGCAUUUUUUAAAAAGAAAUGGAUGAAAAAGAUGAAGAAUUAGGUGAAGAAGAUGAAUGUUAAUCUCUUCAAUUAAUCCUUUCAUUUUUCAUUUUUUUUAAUUCUAUAAAUACACAUGUGGCCUUUUUCAUUUUUUUUAAUUAAAAAAAUACACAGUUGGCAAUUUUUAAGUUAAGUGGCAUGACACAUAGGUUUGACCAAGUCAAAAUUGGUGUUUUGCAAAAGGGGUUAAACAUGAGGGGGGAACUUUUGCCAUUUUUUUUAACAGGGGCCAAAAUUGCAACUUUUGCAAACUUAGGAGGUAAAAAGUGUGUUUAAGCCUUAAAAAUAUUGUCGUCGAUUGAUAUAAUAUUUGCUUCUCAUCUACAAUGUGUUCAGUUUGAUUGAUCAAAAUCCACCCUAAUUUUCUUGAUUAAUCAGGUGGAUGAGGGUGAUAGAGUUUCAAUUUUGUUAGUAUCAUAAUUUUGUUUUUUUGAUACGUGUAUGUCGUUGUUGUUGGAAACUUUGAAUGUGUGUUUUGGAAUUGAAUAUUGCUUAGCUAUAAGCAUUUCUCUAGACAAACAUUUCACAUCUCACGUGAUAAAAUAUGGAGUUAUUUUGGUUUUAUAAAUUAAAUAUGUUGUCUUCAUUUUGACAGAAUUUCAUUGAUUAAUAUGUAGUGAUUUUGAUAUGGAUUUGGGUGUUGCAUGAAUCUUCAACGCGGCAUUUACAUGAAUAUUGAUUUUUUGGAUAGUAAUUUUUUGUCUCCGAGGUUGCAGACGAGUAGGAGACUGCGAUUAGAAUGCAAUUUAUUUAUGUCUAUAGCAGGUAGGAGCUAAUUGUAUGUCCAUUCCAGAUAAAUGGGAUUUGGUUAAGCUUUUUUUAUGUGAUAAUGACCAAUUUUUUAUUUAUUACCGAUUUGUUUUUGGAUCCUAUAUGAUGAAUGAAACAGUGUAUGUACUAUUUUAUGGUUAUGUUAAUCUCAACAUAGGGUUGCUAGAAAUUAUAUACUAAUCAACUAAAGCUUUUAAGUUGAAUAAUAUCCAUUAUAAAUGGGAGUGGAGUUUUUGUAUAGGGGAUCAUGAAGCAAUCUGUGCAAACUACAGAUUAUAAGCUUAACUCAUUGGUAUUGAACCAAACAGAUUAUGCAAAGAUGAAUGUGUGAGGAUACUUGAUCAGGCAAGAGGUUUCUAGGAUAGAUCAUGUUACAAAGAUAAAUUCUGCAGCAAAUAAACAUGUAAUGGAAGGAGAUUUAUAUGAAAUAUGAACGCGACCCAUUUCCCUCAAUCAUAUAUGUAUUGUUGAAUCUGGAUCAUCAAGGUGCUCUAUCAAAACAAUCAACAAAGGUAGUUUCUCCUUUGGAUUAUUGGGGGAAGAUUGCUUGUUGGUAUAAGAACAUGACCAACACCAACAUUGGUCAUGUUGUAUAUGACAUGAUGCACCCCCAAAAUAUUGUGUUGGUGAAAAUUUUCAAUGACAUUUCGUUUAUCUUAUUAAUAAACAUAACUAAACGUUUUCAAUAUUCUCAUACAUAUACUUGAACUUAACAACAAAAAGAGAUAAACGUGGGAAUAGACAGAGUGCUUUGGUUAUUGAUCGAAUACCAAUAUUACAAUAUUUAAAAAUCUCCAUCUUUGAAAGACAUUGGUAGCAUCACAUGAGCAAUGGGGUCUCUCUUCACCUUCCAUUUCUUGAACUGUUUUGAAGCAGCUUUCAAUGCCCUGCCCCAUCUCUGUAUCAAAUAGCACCCACAACCACAAGUUAUCACCAAUAAUUACUUCAAUUUCAACAUUUUACUAAGCUAAUCAAUUCAAUUAAUCUACAUAAAAAUCUCAACAAUAGUAAAGUGACCAAAAAGUUUUCAAGGCUCUAAAUACUUAUUACAAACUAUCACUGUGUGUUAAAAAAAAAAAAUAAAAUAAAAUAAAAUUUUGAUGAAUACCCAUUUUCAUAAACCAGAACACAAAAUAAAAGAUAUGCUUAAAAAACAUAAACCAAUUGAUAAAUAAAUGUAAUAACAUAAAAAGUAACAAAUAAGUUAAAAAGAAAUACCUUAUUAUUGAUGAUGGGGUUACAAGCACAUUUGAUCCUUGAAGGUGUUGGAGAGAAAUCAGAAGCAAUCUUCUUGUUCUUAAUGAAACCAAAUUUGAGAUUGAAGGAAUUAGAAGUGAACUUCUUCCUAAGCUUAGAACCAACCUUGUUGACACUGCAUCUAGCUCCUAAGGCAAUGUCAUAGGAAAGUUUCUUUGGAGUAAUGAGAUCCAAAUCCAUGGGAGAGUAGGGUCUUGGAACCAAAGGGGACCAGAUUGUGCUUUGAGAGUAGUCAAAAUCAUAAGCAGAGUUAUCUGGGAAUUUGCAGAGAAGCUCUAGUGACAUGAAUGGUUCUAAAUAUUCAACAACUUUUGUAGUGUUCAGUAACAAUGGUUGUUGUUGUUGUUGUUGUUCUGCUUCUUCUACAGAUUUCAUUGCUGAAUCAAAGUGUUACUGUUUGGUUAGUUACUUUCUUUGUUUUCUUCAAAAGCUUUGGUUUGGUUGGAUUUGUUUUGCAUUGUAAUCCAAUAAAGGAGGAGAGAGAAAUAAACGACAAAAAAAGGAGCCGUUGUAUGUCAUGUCACAACUUAUUUUAUAUAAAUAAAAGUAGCAAACAAAUAAAUAAAGGAUAUUAUUACUUCCAUCAACGUUUAAUACCAAUAUUACAUAUAAAAUACCCUCUACGUUCUUUUUUAUAAAAAGUAAUUAGACUAAUUUUUGUCCCAAUUAUAAAAAGGAAACUUCUACGAAUUGAGGUGCACUGAUACACUCAAAUUUUUGGAUGUAACAUAGAAUUUGCUUUAUAAAAAAAUAUAAUAUAUAAAAACAUUUUCAACAAAUCAGAGAACUGUGAGAAACAUGGGUGGAGAAAGAGUCCCAUUUUCAUGGUAUGUAUCCUUGAGAAAGUCCAAUAGCAUGAAUGCUAAAACAAGUUAAUUAAUCCGCUUGUUUUCGGUAGUUGUUUCUUUCAUAGCUACUCGAAAUUAAAACCAUUUGAUUUUUUUUUAUUAUUAAAAAGUUUAUGUGAGUUAGAUCUUGAAUUAACUAGAACUGAUAUAGACUUUAAGGUUCAAAAAAUUGUUGAUAAAAUAUUAGAGAUUAUCCACCAACAAGGUCAUUACAAGAAUUGAAGAUUUACCCUUGUUUUUUGAAGUGCGUAUUCAAAUUGAAUAAAUUAUUUAAAAGCACUAGAGCACGUAAAUUUUCUAAUUUUCACAGACAUGUAUGGCAUAAGUGAUAAACACUUGAGCCCAUUAACCAUUUGUUUUUGGCUUCAGUUCCUAACUCGGAUGCAUGGAAAAACAUACGUCUGCACGCGCGAGAAUAUCUUGGUUUACCAAAAUAUACUACUACUUUUCUGUGUGAAAUGACUAUAUUUGAACCGAUUCCUAAUCACCUAAGAUUGAGCACAUAAAAUGCCGUUAAAAAAAAUUAAGUACAUAUAAAUAUGACCAUAGAUCUAUCUCAUAUAGUUCUUUGAGUGCAUAGCAAGCAAAACGAAAGUGCAUGUCCAAGCAAGAAUAUAUUCCUCACAAAAUAAUUGAUGAACUCUAUUUUAUACGUACUAAUAGUAUCCAAAUUCCAAAGAAAUGCAAUGCACCACUUAACCUUUAUCCUUUUAGAAAAUUGUUAGCUUAUAAUUAACAUAUCACAAAGUGACAGCAACAAAUUAAAGCGACAGCAGAAUCAACUUUAGUUUAUAUAUUCAUGCUUUCUCACUUUACGGCUACCAACUAACUAUUUAUAUUACAGUCCAUUUCUCUUACUCUCCAUCAGCAAAAUCUGUGAGGAUAUUUUCAAAUUUCAACCUCUAAUUUUGUGCAUUAGUGUUAAUCCAAUUCCAAUGGAGUCAAGAGCUUACAUCCUUAGAUUCAACAUUGCACAUCUUUGCCUCUUGAUGCUAGUUUCCACUCUUUUCCCUUUGUGUGGUAAACCAUGCAUAUAAAUUAUAUGAUUAUUUCAUAUACUAAUCUAUCUAUGUAACUUCAGUUUAAUUUGUGUAGUAAUUAAUAAAACAUAUGUAACUUUUGUUAAAUUUGCAGAUGCUAUAAAUCAUGGAAGAGGUAGUAGAAGCUACUCCAUCAAAUCAUGGAAGAAACUCAAAUUUUCAUCAUUUGGCUACUCAGACUUAGAUUCUUCAUAUGGUACUCCUUCUUCUCAACCACUUCCACCUUUCAAUUCACUUGCUCCACAACCUACCUCUCUACCACCUUAUUCACCUGUUCCAAACCCACCUCAUGAUGUUUUUAGACCACCACCAAGUCCUAAAACCAUUGUUACAAUGUCGCCGCCGCCACCUCCAAGCCCAUCAAAACAUGUUCCAAGCCCACCUAAAAGUGUUAUAGGCCCACCUCAAGUAUACUUGCCACCUAUUGUUUAUCCACCACCACCUUCAACUCAUAAGAAGCCACCACAAUAUGCUAUUUGGUGUGUGGCAAAGCCUACAGUUCCUGAUCCUAUAAUUCAAGUGGCUAUGGAUUAUGCCUGUGGGUCUGGGGCUGACUGUAAAUCAGUUCAGCCUAAUGGGAUAUGCUUUCAGCCCAACACAGUGUUGGCACAUGCUUCUUAUGCAUUUAAUAGCUAUUGGCAGAACACUAAGAUUGGUGGGGGGACUUGUGAUUUUGGUGGUACUGCUAUGCUUGUCACUGUUGAUCCAAGUAAGUUUGCACUACGUACCAUAUUUGAUUACCUUUGUUAAAGAGAUUAAUUUUCAUAUAUUUCAUUUUUUUUUGUAAGUAAUUUUUCCAUGUAUUUCAUGUUCUACACUGUUAGCACAUUUACAUGUUGAUCUAAUGAUAAAAAAAAAAAAAAAAUUUUGAAUCGGCAAAAUAUUAUAUGUAUGGACCGUAAAAGUUGAUUAUGAUAAAAUUUAAACAGUUGAUUAGGAUAAAUAAUUUAAUUUUUUGGUACAAAUAAUAAAAUAAAUUUUAAUGAAAUUAUAUGACAAAAUUAACACUUCACAUGUUUCAUAUAUAUCGAGAUUCUUUUUUUGUUACAAUGAGAUCCUUUUAUUUAGCUGUUAGUUAAGUCAUUUCACAUCACAUCACAUACUAUAUAUAUCCACACAACAGGCAUAUGCCACUUGAUUUCUUUUAAAUUGGAAUCUAUCCGGGUAGAGAAAACAUGAAUUCAUGACAUCGGUAGCCGGCGUCUGAUUAAAAAUAAAGGUUUUUUUUAAAUUACCUUUAAAGAAUGGUGGGUAAUUUAUCCACCAACCAAUGAAAAUGAGCAAUUUAUUUGUGGAGUCAAGAUAGUUCAUGAAUAUGUGUUUAUGUGGCUAAUGUGUAUUGGUUGGGGUAAAUUACCCAUCAUUCUUUCAUGGGUAGCCUAGUUGCCACCAAAAAUAAAUGGUUCAAAUAAAUAUAUAUUUUAAUUUAUAAUUUAAAAAAAUAUCAAAUUUAAAUAUGAAUGGUUUAAUCUUGAUCAAACAACUAUUGAUGUGCUAUUGUGUGAUGUGUGCUUGAUCCCCUUUCUUCUUUUGAGGUGCAUUCUUCAUUGUCACACUCGGUGGUAUUAGAUUCGCGCACAGUCACUUAAAGCCCACAUUCACCUAUUCAAAACGUUGUUGACUUAUAUGGAUCAAGAUCUAAAGGAAUUUUAAGCUGGUUUUUAAGAUAAAAAACAAAAAUCAAACCUUAAAACCUGCAUUGUUCGAUCUAGAGUCAACGAUCACCGACAUGGUGAAAGUGAAUUUUUGUAACUACAUGGAAUGCAUAUUUCGUAGUCUUUUCAAUUUAGAACUAUGGAUUAUUGCUUCAGACUAACAUUUCCCUCAAAUCCUCGAUUUAUUUGGCAGGUUAUGACAAGUGCAGCUUCAAGUCGACUUAGCUCAUUGCUUGCUAUAAUACAUAGCAUUUGGAGACUUACCAAAUAUUGAAAACUUCUUGUUCCAAUGUAAUUUUUUAUGCAACGAUAAAUUCCCUUACUUAAUUAGAUACAUUAUUUGGAGUUACCUUGAUCAUAGUAUAUUCCGCCCUUGCUUAAUUUUGUGUAGUUCUAUAUAUUUCUAAAAUGGUAGGUUUAAUAUAUAUAUUCAUGACCAUAAUUUGAUAUUUAGAGAUGUAUGUAGCUCUAUUACGUUUCUGGUUCUUUAGUUUAAAACUUAGAUAAGCACCCAUCUUUUGUGUAUUACUAUCAGCGUUAUAAUCCUUGAAAACUUAGAUAAGCACCCAUCUAAAUGCAUAUAAGGUUAAGACAAUACCGACAUCAAAAUGCAGGUUGAAUACAUUAUCCGACUAAAAUCCAUUUCGCUUUCUUCAUGCAUGUGCUCUACAGUUAUCUUCAAUGAAUAAAACAGUAGUUACCUUCAGCCAGCUUGUAAUAUGUUGUCGCACCUGCGAAGCUAAUUUGCAUUCAAAAAAUAAGUGAGAAACAUUUUCCUGCGAAGCUAAUGAAGUGUACGGAAAAAUAAAUAAAAAAUUUACAUUUUAUUAUAACAAAGCAAACAAUUUACUCUAUUGCUUUUUUCUUUAAAAAAAAAUAAAAAAUUUACUUUAUUGUUUCGUGGUGUUUUUUUUAUUCAUUUACUUACUGAUAAAAAACUCAUAUAGACAAAAGAACUGAGUUAAGUGAGAAAAAAAAUGAGAUUAUAGCUAGUAUUGAUAUUUUUACUAAUGUAUUUCGAAAAAUAUUUCAUUCUGUUGGUGUAUAAAAAUUUACAUUAGAAGCAGGGAGGGAACCAUAUUUAACGGUAUAAGAUAGGAAAGAAAAAACAAAUUACUUUACCCAAAAAAAAAAAAAAACAAAUUUUUAUUUGCAAAUAUAAUGCACACAUGAAAUUUAAGAAAUUAUAUGUUACUUCCCUCAUUUCCUUUUUUUAAGUGUUUUUUUAGAAAAUUAACACAAAAAUCACGAAGUGUAUUUUUUGCACAUUUUCUUCCUAGUAUACCCUCAUUUUAAUCCACUAAUAAAUUUCAAUUGUUUUGCAAACACUUUAUCUUUCCAAUAAAUUUAAUAUGUUAUAUUUCUCUCAUUGUGAGUUACUAUUAUCUUUUUCUCCAACAAAUUCCUAUUUUUUUACAUGCACUCUCUCAUAACAAACAAUUGUCAAUUUUCUAAAUAUUGUGUACAUCUUUUCAAUUAUUUUAAGUCAAUAUAAAAAUUAAAUUGAUGAAACUUCUUCUUCUUCAUUGUCAUCUUGUUCUUGUUCUUGUAUCUUGUCGAAUGAGUUUUCAACUAUUGCUCCCUCUUCACAUCUCAUCAUCAAUUUCAACGAGUCUUCCACUUUUUCAUCCUUUUGAGCAUACUACAUGGAGUCUUUUAUUUUUCUUCUCUCAAAUCUUUUAUUUUACUUUGCCCUUGAAAUUUUUAACAAUUGAUACUCAUCUUAGUUAUCGAAUUUUAACUCUUCUUGGAACCAUUGUUUGUAACAAAAUUUUGUUUAAAUUUGAAGAUAACAAGAAACAAACUUUGUUUAAAAAAAAACUGUGUUCCAAAUAGAUAGCAUUAAUUAGUUUUAUUGAAAAAGCUAAAAGUAAUUGGCAAAGGGUAUAAUUGACAAAUCGUAAUUUAAAAUACCAAAAAGACAGUAAAAUAGGAACGGAAAAUUCACCAUAAAAAGACACUUAAAAAUGAACGGAGGAAGUAUAUCCAAAGUUAAUAUGUAUCGAAAAUUGUGUUCAUGUGUAAUUUAUUUGUUGUUUUUUGUUGCCGUUGUUUCUUUAGUGGCACUUUGACUCUGUAAAUACUUGUCGGUGGUUCUCCUUUUGCAUACCUUAUACAGGUUGAACCACUCUGAUUUUAUUAAUAUCUCAUUUUGAUUUGUUAAAAAAAAAUGUAUCUAAAAUUAUAAGAAAUUUCAAAGAUGUUAGAAAAAUGAGUUCCUUGAGGCUUCUUUGAGUGUGACCAAAGAAGAUUUUUUUAAUAGUAGAGAUAGGAAAUAAGAAACAACAAGAAUGUAAAUGUAGGAGAAGAAAUUCAAGAUAAUAUCACAAACAUUAGUAGUGACUGAAAGGGCGCAAACAACACCGCGUGCAAUAUUUCUUACAGUUUGAGUGAAAUUGCAACAAAUAAUCACAAAUUAAUAUUCUAGUUAAGGUUCUUCUAAUUGCAUAAAAAAAAACUCACUUUAUUUCUCAAUUUCUCAAUGUUAUGCAUUCUAGUUAAGGAUUUGUGUUAUUAAAAUUUGAAAGUUAUACAAUGCUAAAUAUACUGAGUAAAAAAAAGUUCAUUAUACAAAAUCAUAUUAAGUUCACAGAAAAUAGUAUAGUGACAAAAAAAUAAAAAUAAUAAUAACAUACUAAUAUGAAGGGAACCAUGGCCUAUGUUAGUCUCCGUUCUAGUUUCAUCCCUGAUUGCAAAGUAUAUCAUAAUGCAAUCUUGUGUAGCUACGAUAAGAAUUAAAUAUUUUCAAUUAUCUACUAAUAGUAAUGAUUAAUUGACAAUGCAAGUACUCUUUACACCUGCAUUGCAUAUGAAUUAGAAGUCACUUUGUUGGCAUAUCACUCCUCAAUCUUGUGAUCCUCCGUUCAAAACUAGCGGUAUGGUAACAAAACCCAUAUAUGUGGGUAUCCGUUUGAACCAAACUUAAAUUGACGGGUUUUUUUUAUUUUAAUUGGGUUUGGGUUUGUCUCGAUUUCAAAAGAUAGAUACGGGACGGGUAACAGGAAUAUAGGUACUCAUCUCAAACCCAUCCUGAAUGUAGAAAAUUAAUUUAUUACCCAUUUUAUAUAAAUAAAAACUCAAACCCUAAAUCAUUUCACUCAUACAAUCAGAGUCUCGGUCUUUCAGAUGACACAAUUAUCAUAGUUCUUUCUUUUCUCCUUCAAUAUUCCACACUCUCAGCCUCUCUCUUCUUCAUCACCAUAGUCAUCGAUCGUCGUCAUCUUUUUACUGAAUAAUGCAUUAGUCAUUACAACUUUGCGCUCGGGGAUAAAAAAUACUUUUAUUUUUAAUAAAAAAAAAUUAUCCACUUCGGGGAUGGGAAUGAGGCGGGGAUGCCCAAACCCGUCGGGGACAUGGAUGAGAUUCGAUUUCUCAUCUCCGCUGAAUAUGGGUAUGGUAACGGGUAAGUAUUUGAAAAUAUGGUAUGAGGACGGGGAAGGUAAAACUCAUCCUCACCCUACCCCAUUGUGAUGCCUAUUCAUGAAGCACAUAUAUUUAGGUAAAUAUUAGAAUAGAAUAACAUUGGAAUGAAAUAAUGACAAAAUUAUCUCUUCACAUGUUUCAUAUUGAGACUCUUUUAUUUACAAUGAGUUCCUUAUUUCGUCGUUAUAGUUUAAGUGAUUUCACAUCACAUACUAUACCCUAACAACAAAGACAUAUUAUGCCACUUGGUUUCGGUACACAUUUCAUUGUCACGCAUCGUCGUCUUAUGGUUGUUGUGCCUUCAAUUUAGUUAAAACUAUGGGCUAUUGCUACAGACUGACAUUUUCCUCAAAAUCAAAACCACCGUUUAUUUGGCAGGUUAUGCAACUUCAUGUUGACUUCCUUCUAUUGAAAACCUCUCUUUCCAACGUAAUUUUUACGUAGCAAUACAUCCCCUUUGCUUAAUUAGUGACAAUAUUUGAAGUUACCCUACCUUGAUCAUCAUCAUCCCUUGCUUAAUUGGUGACGAUAUUGGAAGUAACCUUCAUCAUCUUCUUUGUGGUUUUUCUAGGAAUUCUUUAGGUGUCUUCGAGUUUGGAAGCAUACAAUCAUUUUUGUAAUAAUUAAAAAUUAAAAUUGUUACAAACUUCUAAAACACGGAAGGGUGAUUGAGUUGUCCUCGUGGAGUCAUGUGUCCAAUUGGUUAUAUAUACAAUCAUAUUAUAAUAGUCGUAUAUACGUAAACAUUUUUUAAAAAAAUAUGUACCACACUUUAAAAAUUCACAUAUGCAUUAAUUAAUUUACUUUUAACCUUAUCUUCUAAUAUAUUAUUAUAAAUUAAUUAAUAGUUAUUUUAAGAAAAACCAAUAAACAAUAUAACGCAAACUUGAAACAAAGAGUGAAUCAAGGAGAAUCUACAAAAUAAGUAGAGUAAUGUAUAAUUAAUACAGAAAAAAAAUUAACAAAUAAAAUUUAUCUCACCUUACCAAUGGAGAUUUUAUCUAUUGGAAAUGGUUGAUAUACUUACAAUUAGUUUUCGACACACAUCGAAUAUGAUUAUCUCCAAUUUAUGUGGCGGAAAAACUUAUCACACACGUUAGAAAAAGAAAAAAGUGUUUAUUUUUCUAGUUCCAUGAGUUUCUACAAGGUUUUUUUUACUUCACUAGCUAGUGAUGACUCGCAUGUGAGAUUUGCGAGUGCAACUUAACAUAUGUGAUUUUGAGACCACGAGAGAAGCAUAUAAUUUUUUUUUUUAAAGUACUAUAAAAUAAUAAUAAAAUUUGAACAUAUAUAUGAAAUGUGGUUGUAUCUUUCAGCAUGGAUUAGAACUUUGUUUGUCAUGUUUAUGAGAGUUUAAUCUCUUGCGCUAAAUUCAACCUUAUUGGUGAAUCUAGAUUUUUUUUUUUAUGUAUAUAUGUAUAUAUAUAUAUAUAUGAUGUUUCUAACCUAAUUAAGAGUUAUAUGUUGUAAUAAUAUUAUAUAAUUGUCUUUUUACUCCUUUUCGAUCUUGAGUUAUUUUGGGACGGGAAAAUAUCUUUAUUUUGGUUUUCAUAUAACUAUUCCCCCUUUUUUGUGAAUCCAAAGCAUUGCUUGAAAACUUUUAUUAUCAGCAUUGCUCGAAAGUUGAAACUAUUCCCGCUGGAUUCAAAGUUUUCAACUUCACUAAUUUCUUUGAAAAGAAAAUACUAUAAAACUUCACUGACAUGUUACGUUACAUUUGGAAGCCAGUCAUGUACCGUAAUAAUUGAAGAAAAAAUAUUAUCAGCCGACACUAAAUGCAUAAAAGGUUAAGACAUUACCGAUCCAUGUUUUGUCGUUGAACAAUUAGUCAAAUGUUAAUUGGUUUCAUUCAGAAUUAAGUGUAAAAAAUUUGAUGAUGAUAAUGAAAGAGACUUGAGUGUAUUACCCGACUAAAAUCCAUUUCGCUUUCUUCAUGUGCUCUAGAUCUACAAUUACCUGCUACACAUUCCAAUGGAUAAAUUCUGGUAAUUAUAAAUGUGAUUACUUAAAAUAUAUAUGGUGGCUUCUUAAACUAAAUUAUAUAAAUUGUUAUCGUUAAAAAGCGACUUUUAGAGUUUAUAGCAACAAUCGUAUCUAUUUGUUCACGGGUUUUUGGAUUAAGUUAGAUUUAGGCUAUUGGUCAUUUCAGUCCACUUAUAAAAAUGGAAGGAUGGAUAUUAUUUUAUUAAUUUACACCAUUCGGAGAAUUUCCUUAUUUUGUAUCAAGUCAAAUAAAAAUUAUAGCCUCAACUCUGGCAAAUUAUUUGCAACAUGUUACCCAAUAGUCUACAUUAUAUAUCUAUUAAAAAUCUUAAUAUCUUGUACAAACAUUGUGUAUAAAUCUUUAUUCGAUCAGUUAUAACAAAUUACAUAGACAUAUAGUGUGUUCGAUCGAGAAAAAUAAAUAAAAGAUUGGACAUGAUAACUACAUUUAUACUAUGUGAUUGUAAAACUACAUCAGGAACUAGAUAAACUUAGAGGGUAAAGGACACGAUAAAAAUUGAAAUUAUUAUCAUUUACUAAAUCAGAAUACAACUUUUUGCCUCAAAUACAAGUGAAUAAAAUACCCAAAUAGACUUUUAUCCACCAAGGAUCGUCGUCUAAGAUAAAAAAAAUUGUUCAAUAUAAUUAAAGUUAGUAAUGUGUCUUAUGUCUUAUUCCGUGUUCUUAUGUCCAAUACUUACAUUUUUAGAUAAUCAAACGUAUUCAUCCUGUUGAAGUACAUGGAGUCGAUACAAGUUAAGAACACAGUGGCUUGGGUUAGGUGAUAGAUGUACAAUCGUAUAGCUUAUAGGUCAAUUCUAACAUGUUUCUGAAAGUCAUUUUGUAUGGAGGUGUGUUAUUUGAACAAUCAUUUGAAUGAUAACUUUUGUGACAACCACUAAUUUACAAAGGAAAGUAGAUAGUGACACGGAAACCAAAGUAAUAGAGAGAUAAAGUAAAAAAAUAAUGUGAGUAUGAAAAAUAAAAUUGUCACAAAAUGGUUGUCAAAAUAUCAUUUCUCUUUUGUAUAACAUGCACAAAUAUUUAAAAGAUAAAUGAUAUUUGUAUAACCAUUUUUUUGACAACUUUUAGACAAUUUUCUCUCUCAUAUUCACGUUAUAUUCUUAACCUUUCUUUUCCUUUUUCUCUCUCCUUUGUUUUUAACCAAUAAAAAGAGAGGAAAAAAAAGUUGUCAAGAAAGUUGUUAGCAAAUAGUUGUUCAAAUAUCAUUGCUCGAGUUAAAAUCGUGCUCACUAAACACAAAUGAUUUUUGACGAAGUUUUGUGUAGGCACAAGCAUUUCGGCGCACAUACAUAAAUCAAAAAAAUUAAAAGAUAAAUAAAACAGUCACAUCAAUCAAUAUCAUUUUAAUCAUUUAGUUUUUAAUUUUUUUUUAACUUCAUGGAUGCGUACCUAAAUGUGAGGUGUUGGUCAUAUGACCAAAUAAGAGAUUUUCAUGAUUUUUUUACCAUAAGAUCAAAAAGUUAUAUCAUAUCUCAUUUUAUUACAUUUUUUCUUUAAUGGUGGGGUUUAUUGGUUUCUAAAAAUAUAUCAAUUACCACCCUUUGUUUUCAAAUUCUUUAACCCCGUCACUAAAAACAUAAAAGUAUUUGGAGUAGGUUUAUUUUGUGAAAACAUUUUAAGUUUUCUAGAAUUUAUAUUUUUAAGCAAAAGUGAAUUGCAAAAAUUUAAGCGAGAUUUUUUAUCACAAGUUUACAAUUAUGGUGAAAUCGAAGAACUUAACUACUUAGGUUGUAAACUAAGAACAUUUUAUUAACAAAGAACCAAAAACAGGCAUGAUGGAGUGCAUAGACCAAAAUCUAAAGAAAAAACAUCAAACAGAAAUAAAGGGAAACUAUGUCGAUUAUUAUAACAACAAUCCUCUAAAAUAAAUCUAGGUGGAAGAGUCCACCAAAUAUAACGUUUAGAUUAAAAACCAAAUCCCGCUAUAAAUAUGAGAGAUUACAAUUAAUUGCAUUUGAGAACACAAUGACAAAGCAUUGCGUUGUCUUUUUUUUUUUUUUUUUUUGUCAUUUAGCUUAAUGGCUAUAGAAAUUCACCUUAAAGAUGAAUAAUUGAAGUGUCAUGCAUCGUCUGUUUUUUAAUCUCCACGUGAUAGACCGAGAAUUCUAAAAAGACUUCACCGAUAAUGACGGUGGAGAUUAAAAAACGUUCAUAAUUGCGGCCAACAAAACAAUUUGUGACUAAUAAUUCUAACCUUUUUAAAGAAAAACACGAAGUAGACAAGAAAAAGGAUGUAUCAAUAUGACAAUCAAUGGAAGUCCAAAGUCAACUCUAAAUGUUAACAUCAAAUUGAUUAACGUUGUAACUUGUAACACCUCGUUUUUUCAACUUAAAAAUUUCACAUAUAAAUUAAAGUAUUUCAACAUAAACAGAAUGUCACACUUCUUUUCAUAAAAUCAUAAACAGAAUAAAAUAACUAUUUAUCCUUCAAAUUCAACAGCAUAUCAUUUAUUACAUCGCAACGGAAUGUAUUCAACAUUUAAACAUCUUUUGCACCAAGGCCUCAACAUAAAAUCUCUUAAAGUUAUUCCAACAACAUGUUCAUGAAAGUUCAUAAAAUAAUACGUAAGGAAUAGAAAGCAACAACAAAAUUCUCAUCCCGUUACGUAUCAGGGCACCUAAGACACACGUGAGAGAUAGUCCACUCACGACAACAACUAACAGCAACUAUUCUCGAUCACCUGCAGGUUACCCAUAUGAAGGGUAACAAUUCCAAGCAGAAGGGGUGAGAUUUCAUAUUCAAAUAAUAAUAAGCAUAUAAUUCAUUAAAUGCAUUUAACAACUUAAACUUCAUCAAUUAAUAACAUUAACUCUUCUUAUAAUACUUCGUUAAUAACUCAAUCAAUUUCUAAUCAUCAUUAACUUCAUAUUCAUCACAUUAUAUACAACAUCAUAUAGCACAUAAUAAUCAGAUCAUAAACAUCAUCAUAUAACGACAUAAUCAUCACAUCAUAAACAUCAUCUUAUAACAAGAUAAACGAUACAUCAUAAACAUCAUCUUAUAACAGCAUAAACAACACAUCAUAAACAUCAUCUCAUAACGACAUAAACAACAACGAUUAAUAAAUAUUAAUACUUCACUUAGUUCUUUAUUAACAACUCAUUGACAAAUGACAACUUAACGACAACGACAAUGCGACUUCUACAUCUUAAACUCAACAUAUGCAACUUCAACUUCUUAAUCAUGCAUGUGGUACCAACCAGAGCAUCAAGCCCUCAACAUAAAGAGCAUAAAUACACUCACAGGGCAUCAAGCCCUCAACAUAAGAGCAAAAGCUCACAGAGCAUCAAGCCCUCAACUUCAAAUGAUUAUGCAUGGACUCAAAAACGUACAACUUAGACAAAUUCACAACUUAUAUGAUCCAAUAUCUUGGAAUAACAACUUACAACUUUACAACUUAGACCAACACUUGCAACUUAAUGACAAUAAUGGUUCAACAACAACAGAAACAGCAACAUAAACAUCUUGCAACAUAGCAACAUCAAUAAUAACAAUUUGAAUGAUAUAAACAAUAAUAAUUUCUAUAUCAUACAUUUUCAACACCUUAUAUAAAUAUCUUAAAUUAACCAACAAUCAUUAAUCAUUUGAUUCAGGCUCUCUUUAACUCUAUAACUUAAUAACAACUUCCAUUCUUAUCCAAAGAUCAACUCAAAACAUAGGUUAAAUACUCUUAAACAUCUUAAUUGAACUCAUAGUACUUCUAGUUUUGAGGUUUUGAAUUAUCCCAUAAGUUUUGGAUUAACUUAGAAAUGGUUAUGCUGAAUUUUCAUAAGAUUUCACUAAGACCUCUCUGGAGUAUUUUUUAUCAUAUCUCAAAAACCAAAAAUCAUUUUCAAAUCAAACCAAAGCCAUUGAAAAGCUAAUAAAAUUAUCUAAAACUUUCAUGUUUACAACUAGACACAGUUCAAAGCGGAAAGGGGUGAAAAAUAGUAAAAUAAGAAGGAUCUGAUUCACAAAAAUCGUGCCACGUUUUUAUGCCCAGAACCAUUGAACUUUCGGCCAACAAAAUUGUGCCACGCUUGCAAAAUCGUGACACGUUUUGACAGCAUCAGGUCCAGAAAUCUGCUUUUCAAAAAGUGCAAUUUUCACCAUUUCGCGCGUAAAAUUCAAACCGUUAAUCGGAUUUUGAUGCCGUUUUCGCCUACACGCUCCUGAAACUUGGCUCUAUCAUAAUCUACAGCUAUUUCAAGUCUCAACCAUCCCAAGAAUCAUUUUCCAAAACCUCACAUAAUCCCUUAUUUGCAAAAACGUUUAGACACCGACUUUUCAAGCGAAAAUCUCAAUUUUCAUCAACUCAACCCCAAAACUGGUUCUAAUCAUUGUACUGUGAAUAAUCUAAGGUCUGAACAUCGUUUCUUCAUUAAUUCAACAGGUUUCUAUCAUCUAAUCAACCAAUUACAACUUUUAACCCUAAUUUCCCAAAUUCCCAAAACUACAACCUACAACAUGUUAAAUCCAAUUUUCAGAAUUAUACAACUUAUAAUUAAAGAAUGUUAUCAUUCUAGGUUCUUCUCUUCUAUUGUUUUCUCCCUUUUUCUCCAAAAACUUGUUUUACGCGAUCCUUAUUUUCUAAUUCUAACUCUCCCCUUUUAUAUAAAUCCUUAACCUACUUAUUUUCUCUUAUUUCCAAAUCUACCCCCAAAGUCUCAAUAUUCUAUUCUAAUAUAUAUGUAUAAUAAAAUACUUCUAUAACAAAUAACAAAUAUAUCUCUAUAACAAAUAUAUUUAUGUACCAGAUAACAUAUAUAUUUCUUCACCAAAUUAGAUAUAUAUUUCUACACCAAAUAACAUAUAUAUUAUACUAAUAAAUACCAACAUAUAACAUAACAAAAUAUCACUCAUCAAAAUAAAUCGACUAAAUUAUAAAAAGACAUCUAAAUUCAAUAAAAUAAAUAAAUAUUAAAAUAGGGCGUUACAAACGUGCUUUCUAUCAUCGAUGAACCAGAGCAAAAUUACCAUUAGAUUCAAUCAAUGGUCAUGAUUUAUACAAAAUAAAAAUAAGAACAUUUAAGAAUUGCCUCGCACAAUCUUGCCCCUAUUAAACUUUUUUAUUUUUGGUAUUCAUCAUCUUCAACCUCCAUUCCAAUUUUUUCGUAAUAAAAAAAAAAAAAAAAACUCCAUUUCAAUUUAGGAGCAAUGCUACAAAAGAGAAUUUGCACAAAAAAUUGAGUGUGUCUUCAAAAGUUUACGGGGUUUGCUAAAAAUCUAGUUUAUGGGUUCAAUUGGAGGUGGUGACUAAUGAAAUUGGAGGUUUAACUCAUCCUUAAAAACCAGUUCAUAAGGUGAGUCACGCCCAGCACUCUUUGGGCUUACGUGAAUCGGUAGGUAUUUGGGCUUACGUGAAUCGAUAGGUAACUCUUGAAUUCGACAGGUUCUGAUACCAUAAUGAAAUUGGAGGCCUAACUCAUCCUUAAAAACUAAUUCAUAAGGUGAGAAUUGUCUCCUCUAUAUUAACUCUUAUCAAGAGUCUUAUCUUUUCGAUGUGGAACAUGAGUUUUUUUCAAUAAUGACCUUUAAAGUUUAAACACGCGGCAUCUUUGAAUUCUACAUAGAAAAAAAAAAUAGAAUUAUAGCGUGUUAUGUUUGUUUCUCUAGAGCAUGAGACAUUUCAUUGUUCAGUUUAUGUUGUCAUGGAAAGGCAUAUGAGUGAUGGGUGUACAUCAUCGAUCGGUGGUUUGAUUCUCGUGAAUAGAACAAAAAAAAUCUGAGCUCAAUGGUACAAAUCCUUACGAUGAAAGGUGAGAUAUAGUAGGAUUGUGUGUGGAUAGUUGUAAAUGUUAUCUUUUUUAAUUCUAGUAGAUCAAAAUUGUUAAUCUCAUUUCAUGGUAAAAAUUAAAUAGUCCAUUUGUGAGGGACUCAAUAGCUCCUUCACCUUAGACGUCACCCUUAAUUAAUAAGAAACUAACGGCGAGGGACUCAACUCCCUCACCUUAGACGUCACCAUUGAUUAAUAAGAAACUAACGAUUGAAGUAAAUAAACGAGAAAGAAACUCAAACUUCUUUCUAAACUUUCUUUCUCUUUCGUUCAUCAAGGAGGGGUGGUUUUUGACCUAGAAUCACCCCUCUACAUCUUUUUUCCCAUUUUCUUUCAAUCUAAAUAAGUGGUUUUCACAUACAAGUGUUUCCUUUUGUGUUUUUUGUGAUUUUGUCGUCUAAGUACAACGCUGUGUUGGUCGUCGUCUUGUGCGGCGUUUGAUUUCACGUCUUGUCGCGGCGUUCGUUUAGUUUCUAUUGAAAGAUUGACAUCGGUCAAUUAUAAAUCCAAUCAAUGAUUUGGGUGUGAAUGUUGCCGAUCUAGAAACAUGAGUAUUUCGGUGACUUAGAUUUAAUCAUAUUAGUUGUAGCAUUUUGUCAUUUUAUGUUAUUAACUUGGGUGCUGUGAGUUUGUUCGCAGUUUUACCCUUUACGUUUCUAGCGAUUUUUGUAUCUGAUGUACUCUAUCAAUCUGAAUGAAUGAAUAUCGUUUUGUUUUUAUUAAAAAAAAAAAAUAAAAAAAAAACUAACGGUUAAAAGUUUGCUCUACAUGCCUACAAUGAUAAUAAAUAGAGAUAAUUUACUACAACUUUUAAAACAAUGAUGCUCAUUUAUAGGAACUUUACCAUAAAUAAGUCUCCAAAGAAAAAAUGAUUUGGAUUGAGGAAUUGAAGGUUUCCAAAUAAGCUAUGUCCAUGAUUGAUCAUAUGCAGAAACUUGACAAAAACUAUCAGCAUCCUAAACUGAAAGAGAACCUGAUGAAGAACCCUUCUAAGCAAGAUAUUCAGUGGAAAACUAUACCCCGAUAUUUAUCAAAUUUCAUAUUUCACCAAUUCAACUCUCUCUAUCAAUAGUAUAUAUAUAAAGUAAGAUUUUUUAUGACACGUGUCACUUCCACGUUUAUUCGCAAUAUUUUUAUUUUUUUUCUAAUUUUUCAAAACCAAUAUUUAAUUUGGCAUAAAUAUCUCAACAAACUUUUGAUCUUAUCUAUUAAAUAUUUUACUUAACUAUUUAUUGAAUUCCUAAUAUUUUAUGUAAUAGAAAUAUCUCAACAAAAUUACAUACGAUACCCUUCAAUUAAAAAUCAUCAAUCAAUCAAUAGUAUAUAUAGUAAGGUUUCUUAUGCCACGUGUCACUUUCAUGUUUAUUCGCAAUAUUUUUAUUAUUUUUAUAUUUUUUAAAAUCAAUAUUUAAUUUUGUAAAAAAAAAAUCAAUAUUUAAUUUGGCAUAAAUAUUUCAACAAAAUUUUAACCUUAGGGAUGGCAAUGGGUACCCUAUCCCAAUGGAUAGGGUACUAUAGUACCCUAUCCAUUGGGUACUCAUUGCCAUAAAUGUAUUGGUCUAUUCUCCACUAUCAUAAAUAUAAAGUGAAAUAUAUUGAAUUGGAAAUGAUGAAAGUAGUAUUAAUUAGAGUUAUAAUUGAAAAAAAAAGUAAUUAAUAAUUGUAUUGAAAAGUUAAAUGCAUCAAGAUUUUUGAGACAAUAUUUUUUACAAAUAACUUAGUUAUUAUGGGACGGAGGGAGUAACACUUUAACAUGACAAUGAAAAGUAAAUUUAAGAAUUAAAAUGCAAGAAAUGAAGAGAAUGUUUCUCUAACACAAAACUAUUUUUUUUUUCUCUUUCACUUAUACACUUUUUUAAUGUGUAAAAUAAAAAAUAAAAAAAACUUAUGUAUAAUGAGACGGAGGGAGUAGUUAGUAAGAACAAAGUCGUCAAGGAACCAAUUAACUCUUGAUUUCACUUCCCAAAAACGUCUUGAUAGUGCUAUACUCCCUCCGUCCCAAAUUAUAAGCAAAAAAACAAAAAUCACACUUAUUAAGAAAACUAAAACAUAAAAAUUUGGAGUAUAGUUUUUUGUGUUUUCGUUGGAAAAAGUUUUAUAGGAAGAUGUAAAAACAAUUUUCAUUGGCUAUUGAUUAUGGAAAAAAUGAAAGAAAGAGAAAAUUGAAUGUAAUUUGCAUUUAAUUUUAUGAGAAUAACAAAAAAAAAUCUUGGAAAAGAUUAAAAUUUGUCUUUUUUCCUUAUAUUUUGGGACAAAGAAAAUGAAUUUCUUUUGCUUAUAUUAUGGAACGGAGGGAGUACUUGGUUAAGCUGGAUUGAGCAUUCAAUUCUAAUUUAAGGGCCUUUAAUUUACCUUAAAGAAUAAACAUAGGACAACCAACCACAUAAUUAUUUAUACCAAACAUUUUCCACCACGUGGGUGAUAUCUGGAAGAUGAGAGUCCAUUUAAGUGAGUCAAUGUGACGAAAAAAAAGAUAAAAUGGCAAUUUUAGGAUCGUAAAUUUCUGAAAAUAAUGGAAGUAGUAAUUCUUUUAACGUUUUCAUUGUUUUAAAAAAAUUAUCCAAUCAUAUUUUAUAUGCAAUUUUUGUUUUUUAGAUUAAUUAAACAAUAAAUUUUGUUAACCAGUGUCCUAAGGGUGAUGAUUAAGGAAUUCAAAUGUAAAAGUUUUGUCUUGUAAUUGUAGGAUGUUACAUUUGAUCAAGUAAUGAUUAUACUACUUUUUAUUAAAAACUUACUUGAUUUAGUUGUUUAACCAGUGUGAACACUAGUUAACAUUCUCCUUAAAUAAUUGAUGUUUCUGAAAUAUAAUAUAUAUAUAUAUAUAUAUAUAGCUCAGAUACAUCACUUAUUUAAUGAAGAGUUUUUUUUUUUUCCUUCUCUUAAUUAACGAAUAAAACUAACACUUAUAUAUCUACCAAAAAAAAAAAAAAACUAACACUUAUAUAAUAUAGUUCGGAUACAAUAUAUUUAUAUAAUAUAAUCCGGAUACAUCACUUAUAUAAUCAACAUUGCUAUUUACCGCGACAAGUUUUGUCCCGAAUGCAUCAAGAAUGAAAAUAAGCCAAUUAAAAACAGCUGUUAGUGGAAAUCAUGGGAGGUGGGGGAGAAAAAGAUGGAAAUCAUAAACUAAUGGAUGGAUGGCAUACAUGCCACAUGUGUCUGGAAAAUCUCGGGACAGUUUUAUUUCGUGUGAAAUAGCAUUUUUCCUUAUAUAAUAUAGUCCAGGUACAAGGCAACUAUCACCGGAUGAGGUUUUAUCUUUUUAUUAAUGAAUAAAACUUUUUUUAAGAAGCUAAAUGCAAAAUAUAUUAAAAACCAAAUUAGUUAAGCACAAGAUGUGCCAAACGAAAAACUGUGUAUAACGUCAAAGUAACAAACUCGAUAAAGAAAGAAACCACAAAUAAUAAAAAUCAAAAGCGAAAUUCAGUUUAUGUGUCUUUAGCCACCACAAAAAAUGAAAUUUAAUAUUGUCGAGAAGUUGAUCCUUAGAAGACACGUUGUUAUUGAAAUUUCUCGAGUUUCUCUCCUUCCAAAUUCUCUCCUUCGAAAUAACUCAAAGACAUGUCAGCACACCACUUUAAAACAAGAGCUAAUGUCCUUCCUGAAAGCAUGCGCGCCAAAAAAUUGUUGUGCGUGACAACCAAUAUUUGAUGGAACGACGGUAGUUUUACCCUACCAGAUCAACAAACACCCUACCAGAUCAACAAACAGGGAAAAUAAAUAAAAAAUAUUUUUGCAAAGUAAUUAAACGGAUUCUAAUGUUUAAUAGGAACCGAUCGAGGACAACAUAGAAAUCAUGCUGGAAUUUGAAGAAGAAAUACAAACCUAAUUAAAGAGAGGGGCUAAGUAUUUCCAAGCUGGAACUUGAAAAAGAAAAACCAUGCUCUAAUUAAGUAACUAAGUAAGGUAGUACAUUACAACAAUUGAGAUAAGUACGACACAUUAUGAUGAUUAUGACUUAUGAGCUGUUAAAUGAUGUUGUAGGAUUACUUUUUUCUUGUCAAAAAUAAAUAAAUGAUGUUGUAGGAGAAACAUUAUUAUAAACAUUAUUAUAACUUACAAGGACUAAUGUUUAAAAAAAAAAACUUACAAGGACUAAUAAUGAGACAGAACGAAAGUGUACGUGAGUGUAGGAGACACGUUAUUAUAACAUUUUAUAAAUAUUUAAACGUUGAUAAUAAUUUUGUCGAUCUAUAAACCACUACCAAUUCCUAGUUAAAUAUAUAAUAAUUUUUAUUAUAUUUGUUAGUUGAUGGUAAAAGAUGAAUAUAAUUUGUUACUAUAUUUUUUUUUGACAAAAUAAUUUGUUGCUAUUUAAAAUUCAUAAAUAUAGUCUAUACAUAUAAUUUUAAUAAAAAUAAAAAUUCACCCAAAAAAAAAUCAAAAAUUUCAUAAAAAAAUAAAUAUUGUUUAUAAUUCACGAGCGUUGUCGCAGUACAAAAAUGGAUAGAUGGAUACCCAGUACUAGUAAUUAAUGAAGUUAAUUGGUAAAAUUUCACUCUUACUGGUGGUUGAUGGUAGGGGUGUUUACGGUGCGGUUUGGUUCGGUUUUGAGAGAAAAAGUCAUCCAAACCGCAAGAUAAAAAAACAUGCGGUUUGUGUAACACCCACAGCUGACGAGGGCAGGGGAGUGGUCACCGGUGCACAAGGCACGCCAAUGAGCGGCUCCCGACAGCUUCUAGAGGAACCGAAUCACAUCUGAAUGAGAGGGAUCCUGAGGCCGUGUAGGUGUGGGACUACAUGAAUGAAGGAAUGCUUAUAAGAAUUGUUUGGUAAUACCUAUAUCAACAAGGUGCAUCUUCUUUUUGGUACCCUAUUCCAUAAGAACUCCACAGUUAAGCGUGCUUGACUUGGAGUAGUCUUUGGAUGGGUGACCUACCGGGAUUCCCGAUAAGCAUGCGAGUGAGGACAAAACACGCUGAAAAGACUCGUGUUGGUUUGUAGGGUCAGUCGACAAUGCUUAAAGUCGUCUGGGAUGUUACAGUUUGGUUUGGUUCGGUUGGCUUUAAAAUAAAAUCCGAACCAAACCAAACCAAUAUGGUUUGGGUUGUAUCGGUUGGUGCGGUUUUUUUCGUGACGAUACGAUUUUUUGUUUCCAACAUUAAAAUCAAGAUAAAAAGCUGAAACACAAUAUAUUUUCAACAAUGUUUUAAAUUUCAUCAAACAUUACAAUUUCAUUUUCAUUACAAUGUUUCCAACAACAUAAACCAAAUUAAAAACGCGGACAAAAAGUAAUCUUAUUUUGUAAGAAAUGCAAAAGACUGAGAUGUUCUCAUUCUCUAAAAGUUAAGUAGCACAUAAAUACAUUUUUAAAUAAAAAGCAAAUAAUGAACUUAACAAGAGAAAAAAAAUAUGACAUUUUAUAAAAGUUUUCAUUGAGUUUCUAUGAGUAUUGGUCUUGAUGACAUAUGUUUAAUUAACAUUUUUCUUAUGUUAUGGUUUGGUUUGGUUUUGUAUCUAUUUGACAGUCUCUUUGUACUUUGAGCGACCUCUUUAGUACGCCUUAUGCUAAAGAGGUGUCUCUCUUAUUGUGAAUAUAUAUCAUUUUACCUUCUUAAAAAAAAGUUAAUUGGUAAAAAAAAAAAAAAUUUCUCUCUUGAUUUAUAUGAAAUGACAUUUUUUUUUGGAACAUGGAGGGUAUUGAUUUUUACACCUUUUCAAAAGCCACUCAAGGAUGAAUAUAGAUUUUUCAUGCAUCAAACACAAGAAUCAUUAGCAUAACAUGCUUUGGAAAACACACACAUAUACUUAAAUUAAUGGUUGGAGUAUCAAAUUUAAAAAUAUUGUUGUCAAUACAUACCCCGUCAAUCCUCCUUUUUUACCCAAUAAACAUUGAAAUGUUGCUUCUUUCGUUAAGCAUAAAAACAUCAAAGUCUAGCAAAAUGUUGUUUUUGCGAUGACACAUUUCAUAUAGUUUAAAGGAUGCAUGAUUCGAUUACAAAAACAAAAUACUAAUAAUUCUAGCACAAAGUUUAAAGCUAAGAUUAUAAAGCUUCAUAGCAUGUGGAUAUUCAUUUAGAAAUAUAGGAUUAGGAUUGCCCCUUUCAUCACGGGUCUAAUAGCACCACUUGUCACUACAUGUUAAAAAUGUCCUCUAGUACAACACCGCUUUUUACUUGAUUCCCCUUGUCCAUGAAAAAAUCAAACAAUAUUUGGACACAAAAAUUUGCCCCCACUUUCCUUUUUCUUCUGCCCUAGUUUGUUUGAAAACUCAUAUUGAUCAAAUUUGGCUAUGAAUUCAAACAAAAAAUUCACUCUGCCCAUUGCAUGUGUGGGACCCACAUAUAAAUCCAUGAAGGAUUUCAAUGUCCAUCCAAGUCAAUGAUUCAACAUAUAACAUUGAAUAAUUUAAUUCCAAUUUGCAGUAUUAUGAUUUAGAUUGAUUGCUGCAAUACGGUCCGUGAAUGUAACUCACGAGAAAGAGGUAUCAAGGUAUUUUAUUUUAUUUUUAACAAAUAAAAUUUCAAGGUCUUGUUCACCAUAUAAACCUCCUCACUCUCACUCAAUUCUCUUAAGUGUAUGACUUCAUAGUAAACUACACUACUUUCUUUAAAACAUGGCUAACUAUGCUAUAGCCAAUGUUUUGAUCCUUCUCUUGAACUUGAGUACCUUACUCAAUGUUCUUGCUUGCCCUUAUUGUCCUUACCCAAGCCCUAAACCACCUUCACACCACCCUCCUAUUGUUAAGCCACCAGUUCACAAACCACCAAAGCAUUCUCCUACUCCUAAACCACCAGUUCAUAAACCACCAAGAUAUCCUCCUAAACCAUCACCUUGUCCACCCCCAUCAUCAACACCAAAACCACCUCAUCAUCCCAAACCCCCAGCAGUACACCCACCACAUGUUCCAAAACCACAUCCACCUUAUGUUCCAAAACCACCAAUUGUUAAACCUCCAAUAGUACAUCCACCUUACGUACCAAAACCCCCAGUUGUGAAACCACCACCAUAUGUCCCUAAACCACCUGUUGUGAGACCACCCUAUGUUCCUAAACCACCAGUUGUACCUGUAACACCACCUUAUGUUCCUAAGCCACCAAUUGUUUUCCCACCACAUGUUCCUCUACCUCCAGUUGUACCAUCACCACCACCUUAUGUACCAACACCUCCAAUUGUGAAACCACCAAUUGUUUUUCCACCACAUGUUCCUCUACCUCCAGUUGUGCCUGUAACACCACCUUAUGUGCAACCACCACCUAUUGUAACUCCACCAACACCAACACCUCCAAUUGUGACACCACCAACACCACCUAGUGAAACACCUUGUCCUCCACCACCACUUGUACCUUAUCCACCACCACCAGCACAACAAACAUGUUCCAUUGAUGCUUUGAAGUUGGGUGCAUGUGUUGAUGUGCUUGGUGGACUCAUACAUAUUGGUAUAGGUGGAAGUG
This 38666-nucleotide long non-coding RNA is filed under the name Medicago truncatula (barrel medic). RNAcentral's name for it is "long non-coding RNA (MTRU_LNC000957)". The record is from RNAcentral. Lineage: Eukaryota; Viridiplantae; Streptophyta; Magnoliopsida; Fabales; Fabaceae.